AUGGCCGCAACCAAUGCAAACACACAAUUGAUCAUGCAAAUUCUUCAAGAGCGCAAUCAAGGCAACCAAGGGAAUCAAGGCAGCAAUCAGAAUCACUUUGCUACACUCAACCAGUUCCUUGCUAACGGGCCAAAGACUUUCAGCAAUUGUGUUGAGGCAACCGAUGCUGAUGAUUGGCUAGUGGAUCUGUGCAAGCAUUUCGAGUGCAGUAAUGUCAGGCCUGAGGACUUUGUUAAGUUCGCUUCCUUCCAACUCAAAGAUCAAGCUGCAGAAUGGUUCCAGCAGUAUAAGGAUUCCAGAGGUGGACGUGUUAUCACUUGGGAUGAUUUCCUUCGAGAUUUUCGAGCUCAUCAUAUUCCCCAGAGCGUGGUUGAAAGUAAGCGUGAGGAAUUCCGCAACCUGAAGCAAGGCUCUUUGUCUGUCUAUGACUACAACAAGUUGUUUCAGAAGCUCGCCCGCUUUGCCAAGCAAGACGUGCUUGAUGAGAAGAGCAUGAUAUACCAGUUCAGGGGUGGUCUCAGAGAAGAAAUUCAGCUAGCUCUUGUUCUCUUCGAGCCCUUGAGAUACGAUGAGUUCUACAACAUGGCACUGAAGCAAGAGGCUGCUCAGUUGAGGUGUCAUGCUUCCAAGAAGCGAGUCAGAGAUGCUACUCCUUCUUCCUCUACUCAAGUGGCCAAGCAGCAGAAGUAUUGGCUUCCUCCUCCUCUGUUCCGUCAGCCGUAUCAGCAGAAGAGCAAAGGUGGCAGUGGUUCUUUCCAGCCACCCAACCCUGGCUUCCAGAACAAGACUUCGUCUCAAGCUCCAAAAUCGAGUGCUCCAUAUCACCGUCCGCUUUCAUAG
Molecule: ribosomal RNA, 840 nt
Filed under: Triticum aestivum (bread wheat)
Lineage: Eukaryota; Viridiplantae; Streptophyta; Magnoliopsida; Poales; Poaceae
Description: partial small subunit ribosomal RNA
Source: RNAcentral